Long non-coding RNA from Bactrocera neohumeralis, 3862 nucleotides. RefSeq lists it as uncharacterized. NCBI's taxonomy places the organism in Eukaryota, Metazoa, Arthropoda, Insecta, Diptera, Tephritidae. The record is from RefSeq and is a predicted model, not a curated record. The transcript has 4 exons.
AUCGGCCAUAUUGAAGUUAAAACUAGCAAAAUCUUUAAUAUACGUAAGGGUAUAAAGUACACAGUUUAAAACUCCUAUUCACAUGCCCUCACAAAAAUCAACACCCACACUUCUAAGGUUUUCCAUCUGCAGAGGUGAUUUCAAAAGCUUAAAUGCACACAAUUUCCCCAUAAAUUUGUGAUGUUUGAAAGCAAACCUCACAAUACAAAAUCGAAUACGUUGUUUUAUUUAUUUAUUUAUUUAAUUUUGCAAUAAUUUUAUUGAAAUAAAAUAGAGGAACUAUUCUUUCAAAGGCGAUAUUAUAAAUAUAAGUAUUUGUCUUUUACAAUAAAUAUGUAACCUACAGUCCUAUUCCGAGGAACCCUCACAACUGAUUUGGGAAGGACAAAAAGAUUUCAAAAUAUGAAAGAACAACCAAGGAACAGCUGCACCCUUUGGAAGAAUAGUUCCUCCAUUCCUCACAAUAGUGCGGGUGGUGAUCUUUGUGAGGGCAUGGGAAUAGCACUGUCACAGCCUUUGUACAUUUUACUUCCUUCUAAGGGUGUUCGUCCGAGAUGAGGAAGUUUCACCACAGACAAAUUAAAUGCAAAUUUCACCAGAGUUUUGCAUCAGGAGACUCGAAAAUAUCAGAAUUGAGCACUCUGUGCGUUAAAUGAGUAAAAUAUACUUACUAUGCGCAAACGUCUUUGUAUCUAAUUUAUAGAUGAUAGGUAUAUAUUUGAUAUAAAAGCAUAUCUUCUUCUUUAUUGGCGUAGACACCGCUUACGCGAUUGUAGUCGAGUUAACAACAGCGUGCCAGUCGCUCCUUCUUUUCGCUACGCGGCGCCACUUGGAUAUUCCAAGUGAAUCCAGGUCCUUCUCCGCUUGGUCCUUCCAACGGAGUUGAAGUCUUCCUCUUCCUCUGCUUCCCCCGGCGGGUACUGCGUCGAAUACUUUCAGAGCUGGAGUGUUUUCGUCCAUUCGGACAACAUGACCUUGCCAGCGUAGCCGCUGUCUUUUAAUUCGCUCUACUAUGUCAAUGUCGUCGUAUAUCUCGUACAGCUCAUCGUUCCAUCGAAUGCGAUAUUCGCCGUGGCCAACGCACAAAGGACCACAAAUCUUUCGCAGAACUUUCCUCUCGAAAACUCGCAACGUCGACUCAUCAAUUGCUGUCAUCGUCCAGGCCUCUGCACCAUAUAGCAGGACGGAAAUUAUGAGUGACAUAUAGAGUUUGGUUUUUGUUCGUCGAGAGGGGUCUUUACUUCUCAAUUGCCUACUCAGUCCGAAGUAGCACCUGUUGGCAAGAGUUUUCCUGCGUUGGAUUUCUAGGCUGACAUUGUUGGUGGUGUUUACGCUGGCUUCAAGAUAGACGAAAUUAUCUACAAUUUCAAAGUUACGACUGUUAGCAGUGACGUGAAAGCCAAGUCGCGGAGACAGGACAGGAGAUAUUUCAUCUUGCCCUCGUUCACUGCCUGACCCAUUUACUUUGCUUCCUUUUCCAGUCUGGAGAAAGCAGAACUAACGGCGCGGGUGUUGAGCCCGUUGAUGUCAAUGUCAUCGGCAUACGCCAGCAGCUGUACACUCGAUUAAGUCCUGCAGCUCGAAUUGCUCAACGUCAGUUUACACAGCUGUAUUAGUUCUGCGGGGAUACCAAAUUCAGACAUCGCGGCAUAAAGGUAGCUCCUUUUCAUGCUGUCGAAAGCAGCUUUGAAAUCGACGAAGAGGUGGUGUGUGUCGAUUCUCCUUUCACGGGUCUUUUCCAAGAUUUGGCCCAUGGUGAAUAUCUGGUCGGUUUUUGAUUUGCCAGGUCUAAAGUCACACUGAUAAGGUCCAAUCAGUUUGUUGAUGGUGGGCUUUAAUCUUUCACACAAUACGCUCGAUACAACCUUAUACGCGAUGUUGAGUAGGCUUAUCCCACGGUAGUUGGCGCAGAUUGUGGGGUCUCCCUUUUUGUGGAUUAGGCAGAGAACACUUAAAUUCCAAUCGUUGGGAAUGCUUUCGUCCAACCAUAUUUUACAAAAAAGCUGAUGCAUGCUCCUUAUCAGUUCUUCGCCGCCGUGUUUGAAUAGAUCGGCCGGCAAUCCAUCGGCCCCCGCCGCUUUGUUGUUUUUCAAACGGGUAAUUGCUAUUCGAACUUUUUCAUGGUCGGGCAAUGGAGCGUCUGCCCCAUCGUCAUCGAUUGGGGAAUCGGGUUCUCCUUCUCCUGAUGUUGUACGUUCACUGCCAUUCAGCAGGCUGGAUAAGUGUUCCCUCCAUAAUUUAAGUAUGCUCUGGGCAUCGGGGACUAGAUCACCUUUGGGGGUUCUACAAGAGUAUGCUCCGGUCUUGAAACCUUCUGUAAGCCGCCGCGUAUUUUCGUAGAAUUUUCGAGCAUUACCCCUGUCGGCCAGCUUAUCAAGCUCUUCAUAAACACGCAUUUCGGCCUCUUUCUUUUUCUGUCUGCAAAUGCGUCUCUCUUCCCUCUUCAACUCUCAGUAUCUAUCCCAUCGCGCACGUGCUCUGGUCGAUCGUAACGUUGCGAGGUAGGCGAUCUGUUUUCUCUCCUCUGCGACACGGCACUCCUCGUCGUACCAGCUGUUCUUUUGUAUUUUCCGAAAACCAAUGGUUUCGGUUGCAGUUGAACCUAAGGAAUUUGAAAUGCCGUCCCACAGUUCCCUGAUACCGAGUUGUUGACGAGUGCUCUCAGAGAGCAGGAGUGCAAGCCGAGUAGAAAAUCGUUCGGCUGUCUGUUGUGAUUGCAGCUUCUCGACGUCGAAACUUCCUUGUGUUUUUUGACGUGUGUUUUUUGCUGCACAAAGGCGGGUGCGAAUUUUGGCUGCAACAAGAUAGUGGUCCGGGGCGAUGUUAGGACGUCGGAGCGUACUCACGUCUAGAACACUGGAGAUGUGUCUUCCAUCUAUGACAACAUGAUCGAUCUGAUUGGUGGCUUUUCGAUCCGGAGACAGCCAGGUAGCUUGAUAUAUUUUCGUGUGCUGGAAUCUAAUACUACAGAUAACCAUAUUUCGGGCCCCGGCGAAGUGGAUCAGCCUCAACCAAUUUGGGGAUGUUUCGUCGUGGAGGCUGAAUUUACCGACCGUAGUGCUAAAUAUACCUUCUUUGCCCACCCUGGCGUUAAAGUCGCCAAGCACGAUUUUGUCAUCGUGGCGGGGGCAGCGCUCAUAACUGCGCUCCAAGCGCUCAUAGAAGGCAUCUUUGGCCAUCGGCCUUCUCUUCCGUCGGGGCGUGGGCGCAAAUCAGCGAUAUGUUGAAGAACCUCGCUUCGAUGCGAAUUGUGGCUAGGAGUGAAUGAGAGUACUCGGCGACGGAGUCUGCCUCCCACCACGAAUCCCACACCAAACUUGUAGUAAAUGCCAAAAGGACCUACUCGUCUCUGUCCUUGUCCCGUAAAUCGCAUUUCUUGGACGGCGGUGAUGUCAGCCUUUAUUUUCACGAGGACAUCAACCAGCUGGUCAGCGGCACCUUCCCAAUUAAAGAGGUCUCUCAUCCGAGCUUGAUUGUUAAUUUUCAUUGGUAUGAUUUUUUUGCGUUGCGGGUCCCAAACCUAGCGCACAACCCUGCGGAGAGGAUGUUUCACCUGCUUACUUUAGCUCGCCUUCAAGCGGAUGUUCUUAGGUUACCCAGAGGAUACUUGGUCAAAGACCGGAAGUAGUGAGCUGCUUGAGUCAUAUGUAAAAGAAUCGUUUCUGGCCACUCCCAAGUGAAUGGCGAUCAGAGAACUUUCCUCACUUGCGUGAACUUCUACACAUGACUCCAUCCUCCACAUCAAAGCAUAUACUAAAGUAUAGUAUAUAUGUAUGUUAUAAUUGACCUAUUUCAUUAUGAUUCCAUAAAAACUUUUGAAAUAUUCAUUGAUUAAUGUCGUUUGUAUUAUUACCUAAGUAUA